Molecule: ribosomal RNA, 119 nt
Filed under: Lupinus angustifolius (narrow-leaved blue lupine)
Lineage: Eukaryota; Viridiplantae; Streptophyta; Magnoliopsida; Fabales; Fabaceae
Source: RNAcentral
AGGUGUGAUCAUACCCGCACUAUUGCACCCGAUCCCAUCAGAACUCCGCAUUUAAGCGUGCUUUGGCGAGAGUACUUCUAGGAUGGGUGACCUCCUAGGAAGUACUCUUGUUGCACCUC